CAGCCCCAUCCUGCUCAUCUGCUCCGAGCCAAGCCUGCUUUUGACAAGUGCUCAGGAAAUUAUUAAGCUUAUUCUCUGUCUCACUUCACCUUUGAGUAUUUACAAAUGUCACGGGCAGUGUUUGUGGAAGCCAGCCAGCUGUGGCAUUUUUUUUCUCUCCCUCCUGUUCCUUUUUAUGUACCAUUAUCAAAACCAUAGCAGAGAUAAAAUUCAGCAUGAUCUCAUCAGAACUCUGCAAGAGCUCAGGAAUCCAUUUCCAUUUACAAGAGGGUUUGCAUUUAUCCUUGUCCCCAAAGGCUGACUGCGAGCCUCAAGCUGUAGUCAAGUCUCUUCUCAAGUAGAAGCUGCAAUUUCUGAUCAGAACCAGUGUGAACAAGUACUACUACAAUAGCAGGGGCUGAAAGAAGAACUGCCACUGGGAAACUGAGACUAGCUUAUGAGAACAUUGGCAUGUUCUUCUAGUAUAUUUGGCUGUCUUCCUGCAGAAGACUGAUCAUUUUCUCACCCUCACAACCUCUGCUGUUGGGUUAAACAUUCAUCUUAUCCAUAAGAACCAGAUCUCAAUACCACUUGGGCUGCUGCUGCGCAAGAGGAGUGGAGUGACAGAGAUCAGGAAACCACCACAGUUCUGAUUCAACCUGUAUCUUCUGUGAAGCUGAUAAGUAAUUUAUCUGCCCUGGUGCAGGGCUGUGGGGGAAAGACUCAGUGCUGAAGUGCUGAGAAGCAGAGGGGCAUGCAGAGAGCUGAGAUGAAGAUGAAAUUAGAAAAAAUUCUCUGCAUACCCCUAGGAAGACUGUACAAGCAGCCAGGGAAAAGACAUUUUUUUUACAUGUAUAUUCAGGAGGGAUUUUGAGAACAUACAUCUCCUUCCUAAGCCAUAGAAGUCAGGUGUAAUGUCCCUCUUUCCCAGAUGAAGUUAUUGUAGAGUCCUGAAACUGAACCACAUCUUAUGUAGAUACUCAUAUUCAUGCUUUUUGUGCAUGGAGAGCUGGUGUUAAUUGAAGUGAUUUGGGGUGUCUCUGCUUUAGCUCUGCUUGAAUUACAUCAAAAUAAUUCUGAUUUUGAAAAACUGGCACUCUACAUCAUUAAACCCAUUUAAGACUAGGCUCCAAAAACUUAUUUCCCCCAAAUCACUCAUUGCCUGGGAAAUACUUUCCCUUCAGUCCCCAAUCAAAAUCUCUGCAGAAACCAAACCUGGUUCUGACCUUACUUAAAACACUGAAAAUCUCAAAUUUUAAAGCCAGAUUUAUGCCACAUAUUUCAAUGCAAUUAUUCUCUUGCAUAUCUAUCUAAGACAAGAAACUCUCUCUAGCUCUGUAGCCUUUUAUUGCUAGUACGCUUCUUUACUUGUUUUUUUCAGAACUAAAGGAUCAAAGCAUGAAGAAUUGGUCUCCACUGACUGCAACACACCAAGGAAUAGAUAUACUUUUCUUUUAAUUUUCUGCAUUAUAGUCUUGAAAGCCAGCCUUAACAGUUGCCCAACAAGAUUGAAUUUUUAUUACGCUUGUCUAAACCCAUUAAUGAGAACGCCGGUUUCAAAAGUUAGUCUAAGAAAAUACCAAAGUGAGCAAUGCCACACUUCCUCAGUCCACCCCUUUUAUCUGACUUUUUCAGUGUUUUACUUCCAGCCCUUUCCCUUCUACUCGGUCUGUUCCUAUUAUCUUCUGUAUACGUGUCAUACUCAUUAGCUGCCAACUGUAAUUCAUGAGUUGAUAAGUUUGGGAGACUAAGAACUGAACAGUGCACCAUUUGGAGCACAUCUCUACAAGAUAUUAACACAUGGUGAUGUGCCACAAAAUUGGAGGGUGGAAAGUGGCCCUUUGGUUGACAAAGCCUGGGCUAAUUUUUUUAUUUCCUUGCCAGCUGCUGAGUAGCUUCCACUGAAGAGCCAUCAUCCAGUCCCAAGGGGAUUUUGUGGAAUUUUUAGUUAAUCAUUCUCUUGUUUCUCUGUUAAACCUUCCAGCAUAUUGCCUCCUCUUUCCGGCUUUCUUCCAACUUUGGUGGCAGUUUCCCAGGAGCAAUAAAUUCAAGAGUCUGUGUAUCAAUGAACAGAAGUGUCCACUGGAACUCAAAGGAGAACUUCUGCCCCCAGAGAAGGAGAGCAGGACCCUGGUGACAUUCAGAUCCAUACUUACCCAAUGCAAUGGCUAUCGAAGAUAUUUCAGACUUUUCUCAUCAGGCAGCAUCUCUCUUUUUUUCUCCCUCCAAAUCUGUAAAUUAUGAUGUCUUUACUUUUUGUAUAUUUAUGAAAUAUAUUAAUAAAAUUCACCUUUUGUGAUAGCAAAUGCUGGGAGUUCCUCCUACACACAGCUGCUGAAUAAACACUAAACCCAUCAUUGUAUAUCCCACAUUUAUUUAAAUUGUAGAGAUUAUUUUCACCGUUUUUUGCUGAAAUAGAACCAGAAAAGUGCUGUUGCUUCUCUUCUUCACUGUACAUCUACACAGGCAUUUUCACAUUUUGCAGCUUCAUUUAAUUUACUCUCCCUUACAUGUCUUUUGGCAGAGGCAAUUCCCAGCUCUCUUUAUCACUGAUCAUCAUUUUGGAUCUCUUUUAGCUGCACAUACUCCUUACCUCCUUUGGCGCCUUUCCACAGAUCCUCUGUCCUCAUGGAUAUUCUUGGCACUUUGCACUUGAGUAAGAUCUGCGAAUUUUAUUCAUGCUUGUGUUCAUUUCUCUGCCAAAUCAUGAAUGAGGAUGUUAACUAACACUGAUCCAUUUGGAUAUUCCACUAAACUGCUUUCCUGCAAUGCCAUGUAAUAUUAUGCAUGAUUCAUUACCCUCUGUUCUUUGUUUUCAGCAUUUUAGUUAACGAUCGGGCUAUGCAGUGGCUCAGAGAGGCUGAUUUUAAUUUAUGUGGCAAGAACAUUCAUGGGACAUUAUCUCACAUGCUUUGGUAUGGACCAUAUAAUUUUUUAUAUCUACUGUAAUCACUUCAAUGUUGUUAUUCUAUUAUUAAAAAUAAAAAGUCCACUUGUAUCUGAACUUAAUUUAUCCAUUUACACUCAUGCAAAGUCAAUGAAAAGCACAACUAACUCGAAACAGUAGCUCCUCCUACAUCUGAUUGCAAAUAAUAGAAAACUGAGACUUUUAUUAACAUCAUAGCUCAUGUUGCCUUAGGGCAGGGGUCUGUGUGGGAAGGGAGUUGCUUUUCCACCUGCCUAAGAUAAACUAGUCAAAAAAAACUCGUUUCAAACUCUUCCUGAGUAAAUACACUCUAAUUUCCAAAACAGGACUAAAUUCAGUCCAAGUGUAUUUUUGUGAGUGGAGAGAAUGAAGAAGAGACAUCAGCAAAAAGACAGCAAAAAGCACCUGCUGUUUUUAUGAAGUUGCGCUUUAUUAUUUCCUAUGCUUGAGCUAUAACGGUGAAAUCUCUGAAAUGUCUUUUUUUAAAAAAAAAAUUAAAAAAAACUUUAGGUUUUUUUUUGAGAAAAAAAGCCUAAAAUGUGUCCCAUCAUUGAAUUCUAUAAGGUUUUUCUUGUUAUAAGCAAAGGCAAUGUUUAUUCUCAAAAUACAAUGCCAUUCAGCAAAGAGAUUCCAGGAAAACUGGCACCUCCACAUCCAUCAUGUGUCACUGCUGCUUCCCGCAAACCAAGCAGUGAUGGGACGAUCAGCUGGAUGCUGUCCUCCAUCCUUCAUUUCAUCACAUCUUUUGCCAACUAAACUUCAAGGGGACAGUCUUUAAGAGUGGAGAUCAAAUAAGAAGCAGGAAGUGUGAAUAAAAAGCUCCAUUUUCUGAUCCCAGGCCAGUGGAAAAGAUGUCUGUUAAUUUAUGAAUGAAUCAGUUUUGUGCUGGAAGCCAUUUGCAAGGAAUGUGUUCUUGGUCUCUUGCUUCACACUAGUCAACGCAAAGCCACCUAUUGAUGUCAAGCUGCAUCUCGGCCACCACUAUUUUGCUAACCUUAAUAUUAAUCCUGGUCUCCAGCACAAAUGAUUCACAAGUUUCAUUAGAGCAAAAGGUCUACUGAAACCUCCAGACAAUUCCUCUGGAAAGCUGAGAGCGUACUUAGAUUCCAUAGACAUCUGUACUUGGAUUCAAAUUACAUUCUUAGCUAUAUUUCUCCUCCCACUGCUUUUAAAUCUCCAGAAAAACAUAACUUUAGAAAGGAAGGCUGCAUUCCCUAACAGCCAAGAGGAAGAUUUACAAGCCAGAUGGUGAUACUUAAAAUAAAUAAUGAAAAAUUAUGCAAGUUAAUUUUUCCUCUCUUUCAGUGUGAAAACAUCACCAUCCCUUCCUCCUACUAAUCUCCAUCUCAAGAUGACUGAGUACUCUACCCUCAAUAAAUCCUUCUGCACUAAUUAAAAACCCUUUCCUAGCAAUGCUAGAGACGUUGGAAGAUACACCUCCUGUCAUUAGAAACAAGAAAGGAUGAGUUCGUAGAAAUAAUAAGUGGAAUGGAUAGAUAAGUUCUCCUUGCUGCCAUCCUCCCCACAAAAUAAGUUUCUGGCUUUCAUUAAAAAAAAGAAUGCAAAAAUACAGGGAAAACAAAACACAACACCCUGGCUUUUGGUGGCCAACAGAUUAUAUUUUCAGUUUCUAGCCAAUGGAUUUUGUCAACUAAAAUCCAAAACCACUAGUGGCUUUAAGCAAAAUAAAACAAAAAGUAAGCCAGCAAACCACUUUCUCAAAAUAUAUCUCUUUCCCUUCAAAAAUGGUUAAGGAUGAAAUGCUUCAUUUUGCAACCACAAAAUAUUUAUCUUAAAAAAACAGCAAGAUCCUCAUUUCUGGCUGCCAUACGUUGCUUCCAUGAGAGCAUUGGGACACAUCUGGGACUGGAGAGCUCUGCUUGGGACCAGGGCUUAACACUGUAUUUUGUUGUGCAUUGCAAAAUCACUCUGUGGCUCAUCAUGAGGGAAACCAAGUGAAAUUAUAGGUCUUGUGUAACAAAAUAAGUCCAACUGAGUGGUCUAAUACUCCUUUUUGGCACUAAAAUGUAUGAAUUGAUAAAACAUUGUGAACUUUUGCAAUGUGUUUCCUUCCACAUUGUUGUCACUUUGCAUGUCAUUCAUCAGAUGACAUGCAGAUGUCUAAAGUUAAGUAGAAGAAUCCUGCUUUA
Long non-coding RNA from Columba livia (rock pigeon), 5055 nucleotides. RefSeq lists it as uncharacterized. The record is from RefSeq and is a predicted model, not a curated record. The transcript has 3 exons. Lineage: Eukaryota; Metazoa; Chordata; Aves; Columbiformes; Columbidae.